RNAcentral lists this ribosomal RNA (497 nucleotides) under uncultured bacterium. Its description in RNAcentral is "partial 16S ribosomal RNA". It matches the Rfam family "Bacterial small subunit ribosomal RNA", at positions 28 to 507 of the family's 1533-position model. The record is from RNAcentral.
GACGAACGCUGGCGGCGUGCCUAAUACAUGCAAGUUGAGCGCUGAAGGUUGGUACUUGUACCAACUGGAUGAGCAGCGAACGGGUGAGUAACGCGUGGGGAAUCUGCCUUUGAGCGGGGGACAACAUUUGGAAACGAAUGCUAAUACCGCAUAAAAACUUUAAACACAAGUUUUAAGUUUGAAAGAUGCAAUUGCAUCACUCAAAGAUGAUCCCGCGUUGUAUUAGCUAGUUGGUGAGGUAAAGGCUCACCAAGGCGAUGAUACAUAGCCGACCUGAGAGGGUGAUCGGCCACAUUGGGACUGAGACACGGCCCAAACGCCUACGGGAGGCAGCAGUAGGGAAUCUUCGGCAAUGGACGAAAGUCUGACCGAGCAACGCCGCGUGAGUGAAGAGGGUUUUCGGAUCGUAAAACUCUGUUGGUAGAGAAGAACGUUGGUGAGAGUGGAAAGCUCAUCAAGUGACGGUAACUACCCAGAAAGGGACGGCUAACUACGUG